ACAUGCCUACAUCAUAGCGUUAAUGCACUGGAUCCCAUUAGAACUCUACAAUAAAGUGUGCUCAGGCUAGAGUAGUAUUGGGAUGGGUGACCGCCCGGGAAGUCCUUGUUGAUAUUAU
Picea glauca (white spruce) is the source of this 118-nucleotide non-coding RNA. Lineage: Eukaryota; Viridiplantae; Streptophyta; Pinopsida; Pinales; Pinaceae. The record is from Rfam.